AUUAGAGUUUGAUCCUGGCUCAGAUUGAACGCUAGCGGUAUGCUUAACACAUGCAAGUCGAACGGCAGCACGAGGAGCUUGCUCCUUGGUGGCGAGUGGCGGACGGGUGAGUAACGCGUAGGAAUCUACCUAGUAGUGGGGGACAACCCGAGGAAACUCGGGCUAAUACCGCAUACGCCCUUCGGGGGAAAGCGGGGGAUCUUCGGACCUCGCGCUAUUAGAUGAGCCUGCGUCAGAUUAGCUUGUUGGUAGGGUAAUGGCCUACCAAGGCAACGAUCUGUAGCUGGUCUGAGAGGACGACCAGCCACACUGGGACUGAGACACGGCCCAGACUCCUACGGGAGGCAGCAGUGGGGAAUAUUGGACAAUGGGCGAAAGCCUGAUCCAGCAAUACCGCGUGUGUGAAGAAGGCCUUUGGGUUGUAAAGCACUUUCAGUGGGGAAGAAAACAUUAAGGUCAAUACCCUUAAUCUUGACGUUACCCACAGAAGAAGCACCGGCUAACUCUGUGCCAGCAGCCGCGGUAAUACAGAGGGU
This 536-nucleotide ribosomal RNA is filed under the name uncultured bacterium. Its description in RNAcentral is "bacterial SSU rRNA". It matches the Rfam family "Bacterial small subunit ribosomal RNA", at positions 1 to 533 of the family's 1533-position model. The record is from RNAcentral.